GGGCUCAUGGUUUAGAUGGUUAGAACGUCGCCUUCACGAGGCGAAGGUCGCCGGUUCAAAUCCGGCUGGGCCCA
Molecule: transfer RNA, 74 nt
Filed under: Thermoplasmatota archaeon
Lineage: Archaea; Methanobacteriati; Thermoplasmatota
Description: tRNA-Val
Rfam family: tRNA
About the family: Transfer RNA (tRNA) molecules are approximately 80 nucleotides in length. Their secondary structure includes four short double-helical elements and three loops (D, anti-codon, and T loops).
Source: RNAcentral